Non-coding RNA from Corylus avellana, 162 nucleotides. NCBI's taxonomy places the organism in Eukaryota, Viridiplantae, Streptophyta, Magnoliopsida, Fagales, Betulaceae. The record is from RefSeq and is a predicted model, not a curated record.
UAUGUCAACUGGAUUGUGUCUUAGAGCAAAUUUGUCCAGUUUAAAUCUUGUUACGAAAUGGGCAGUUGACUUGAAUGAGCAUGCUUGUAAAAGUCUCAAACAAAACCAUCCGGAGACGGAGGUUAGAAAUGAACCCGCCGAAGAUUUUUUGUUGCUUUCGAA